Molecule: ribosomal RNA, 1505 nt
Filed under: uncultured bacterium
Lineage: Bacteria
Description: bacterial SSU rRNA
Rfam family: Bacterial small subunit ribosomal RNA
Source: RNAcentral
CACGGAUCCAGAGUUUGAUUCUGGCUCAGGACGAACGCUGGCGGCGCGCCUAACACAUGCAAGUCGAACGGAGUUUGUUGGAUUGAUCCUUCGGGUGAUUGAAAAUAAACUGAGUGGCGGACGGGUGAGUAACACGUGAGCAACCUGCCUUUCAGAGGGGGAUAACGUCUGGAAACGGACGCUAAUACCGCAUAACGUACCGAGUGGGCAUCCACUUGAUACCAAAGGAGCAAUCCGCUGAAAGAUGGGCUCGCGUCCGAUUAGGCAGUUGGCGGGGUAACGGCCCACCAAACCGACGAUCGGUAGCCGGACUGAGAGGUUGAACGGCCACAUUGGUACUGAGACACGGCCCAGACUCCUACGGGAGGCAGCAGUGGGGGAUAUUGCACAAUGGGGGAAACCCUGAUGCAGUGACGCCGCGUGAGGGAAGAAGGUUUUCGGAUUGUAAACCUCUGUCUUUAGUGACGAAGAUGACGGUAGCUAAAGAGGAAGCCACGGCUAACUACGUGCCAGCAGCCGCGGUAAUACGUAGGUGGCAAGCGUUGUCCGGAAUUACUGGGUGUAAAGGGAGCGUAGGCGGGAAGACAAGUCGGGUGUCAAAUCUAUCGGCUCAACUGGUAGCAGCACUCGAAACUGCCUUUCUUGAGUGAAGUAGAGGUAAGCGGAAUUCCUAGUGUAGCGGUGAAAUGCGUAAAUAUUAGGAGGAACACCAGUGGCGAAGGCGGCUUACUGGGCUUUAACUGACGCUGAGGCUCGAAAGUGUGGGUAGCAAACAGGAUUAGAUACCCUGGUAGUCCACACCGUAAACGAUGAUUACUAGGUGUUGGAGGAUAGACCCCUUCAGUGCCGCAGUUAACACAAUAAGUAAUCCACCUGGGGAGUACGACCGCAAGGUUGAAACUCAAAGGAAUUGACGGGGGCCCGCACAAGCAGUGGAGUAUGUGGUUUAAUUCGACGCAACGCGAAGAACCUUACCAAGUCUUGACAUCCCCUGACGAUGCUGGAAACAGUAUUUUCCUUCGGGACAGAGAGACAGGUGGUGCAUGGUUGUCGUCAGCUCGUGUCGUGAGAUGUUGGGUUAAGUCCCGCAACGAGCGCAACCCUUAUGGAUAGUUACUACGCAAGAGGACUCUAUUCAGACUGCCGUUGACAAAACGGAGGAAGGUGGGGAUGACGUCAAAUCAUCAUGCCCUUUAUGACUUGGGCUACACACGUACUACAAUGGCGUUCAACAAAGAGAAGCGAAAUCGCGAGAUGGAGCAAAACUCAAAAACAACGUCCCAGUUCAGAUUGCAGGCUGCAACUCGCCUGCAUGAAGUCGGAAUUGCUAGUAAUCGCAGAUCAGCAUGCUGCGGUGAAUACGCUCCCGGGCCUUGUACACACCGCCCGUCACACCAUGAGAGCCGGGGGGACCCGAAGUCGGCAGUCUAACCGCAAGGAGGACGCCGCCGAAGGUAAAACUGGUGAUUGGGGUGAAGUCGUAACAAGGUAGCCGUAAGCUUCAC